GAUGAACGCUGGCGGCGUGCUUAACACAUGCAAGUCGGGCGGACGGUCGUGUUUCCUGUUUCUGACGGGUUAGUAACGCGUAGGAACCUGCCCUGUGGAGGGCCACAAUAACUGGAAAGGAUUACUAAUAGACCGUAGGCUUAGGAGCAAAUGAAAUAAUGCGCCCGAGGGUGGGCUUGGGUAUGAUUGUCUAGCUGGUGAUUUAAUAGCCUACCAAGGCGCUGAUCCGUAUAUGGUCCGAGAGGAUGAUCAGCCACACUGCGACGGAGACACGGCGCAGACUACUACGGGAGACAGCCGUGGGGAAUUUGCAGCAAUGCGCGAUAGCCUGACGGAGCCAUGCGGCGUGGAGGUAGAAGGCCCAGGGAUCGUGAAAUUCUUUUCUAGGAGAAGAAACAAUGACGGUACCUGAGGAAUAAGCAUCGGCUAACUCCGUG
This 437-nucleotide ribosomal RNA is filed under the name uncultured bacterium. Its description in RNAcentral is "partial 16S ribosomal RNA". It matches the Rfam family "Bacterial small subunit ribosomal RNA", at positions 28 to 507 of the family's 1533-position model. The record is from RNAcentral.